This is a long non-coding RNA of Etheostoma spectabile (orangethroat darter), 129 nucleotides long. RefSeq lists it as uncharacterized. Lineage: Eukaryota; Metazoa; Chordata; Actinopteri; Perciformes; Percidae. The record is from RefSeq and is a predicted model, not a curated record. The transcript has 3 exons.
AAAGGUGAAAAAAAGAAAUAAAUAAUAUAAAUAGGCAACGUAAAGUAAUUCCACAUAUUGUAAUCAAAACAGUACACAUACGAUUGUGUACUACUACAGGUUAUGUUUAUUAAAUGAAGCCCAAAAUAU